GUCAGUGCAAUCCGGAACCUCCUGAGAAUGUGUGAUUGAGGGACGCUGAUGUCGGGGGAAACCCUCCUUGCGAAAAGCGGGAUAGAUCGAAAGACAAAGACCGGGUAAUAAACUAAAGCGCCGAAGUUGGGCGCUUUAGUUUU
Molecule: small RNA, 143 nt
Filed under: Buttiauxella agrestis ATCC 33320
Lineage: Bacteria; Pseudomonadati; Pseudomonadota; Gammaproteobacteria; Enterobacterales; Enterobacteriaceae
Description: sraL Hfq binding RNA
Rfam family: sraL Hfq binding RNA
About the family: The SraL RNA ('sra' for small RNA), discovered in E. coli, and later in Salmonella Tiphimurium. It is expressed only in stationary phase.
Source: Rfam by way of RNAcentral